GUAUCCUGGCUCAGAUUGAACGCUGGCGGCAGGCCUAACACAUGCAAGUCGAACGGUAACAGAAAGCAGCUUGCUGCUUUGCUGACGAGUGGCGGACGGGUGAGUAAUGUCUGGGAAACUGCCCGAUGGAGGGGGAGUAACUACUGGAAACGGUAGCUAAUACCGCAUAACGUCGCAAGACCAAAGAGGGGGACCUUCGGGCCUCUUGCCAUCGGAUGUGCCCAGAUGGGAUUAGCUAGUAGGUGGGG
Molecule: ribosomal RNA, 248 nt
Filed under: uncultured bacterium
Lineage: Bacteria
Description: partial 16S ribosomal RNA
Rfam family: Bacterial small subunit ribosomal RNA
Source: RNAcentral